This 465-nucleotide ribosomal RNA is filed under the name uncultured Klebsiella sp. RNAcentral describes it as "bacterial SSU rRNA". It matches the Rfam family "Bacterial small subunit ribosomal RNA", at positions 338 to 795 of the family's 1533-position model. The record is from RNAcentral. Lineage: Bacteria; Pseudomonadati; Pseudomonadota; Gammaproteobacteria; Enterobacterales; Enterobacteriaceae.
CCUACGGGUGGCUGCAGUGGGGAAUAUUGCGCAAUGGGCGCAAGCCUGAUGCAGCCAUGCCGCGUGUGUGAAGAAGGCCUUCGGGUUGUAAAGCACUUUCAGCGGGGAGGAAGGCGUUAAGGUUAAUAACCUUGUCGAUUGACGUUACCCGCAGAAGAAGCACCGGCUAACUCCGUGCCAGCAGCCGCGGUAAUACGGAGGGUGCAAGCGUUAAUCGGAAUUACUGGGCGUAAAGCGCACGCAGGCGGUCUGUCAAGUCGGAUGUGAAAUCCCCGGGCUCAACCUGGGAACUGCAUUCGAAACUGGCAGGCUAGAGUCUUGUAGAGGGGGGUAGAAUUCCAGGUGUAGCGGUGAAAUGCGUAGAGAUCUGGAGGAAUACCGGUGGCGAAGGCGGCCCCCUGGACAAAGACUGACGCUCAGGUGCGAAAGCGUGGGGAGCAAACAGGAUUAGAUACCCCGGUAGUC